GACGAACGCUGGCGGCGUGCUUAACACAUGCAAGUCGAACGGAAAGGCCCUGCUUGCCGGGUACUCGAGUGGCGAACGGGUGAGUAACACGUGGGUGAUCUGCCCUGCACUUCGGGAUAAGCCUGGGAAACUGGGCCUAAUACCGGAUAGGAGCCAUUUUUAGUGUGAUGGUUGGAAAGUUUUUUCGGUGUAGGAUGAGCUUGCGGCCUAUCAGCUUGUUGGUGGGGUAAUGGCCUACCAAGGCGGCGACGGGUAGCCGGCCUGAGAGGGUGGACGGCCACAUUGGGACUGAGAUGCGGCCCAGACUCCUACGGGAGGCCGAUGUGGGGAAGAUUGCACAAGGGGCGCAAGCCUGAUGCAGCGACGCCGCGUGGGGGAUGACGGCCUUAGGGUUGUAAACUCCAUUCGCUAGGGACGAAGCUUUUUGUGACGGUACCUAGAGAAGAAGCACCGGCUAACUACGUG
Molecule: ribosomal RNA, 465 nt
Filed under: uncultured bacterium
Lineage: Bacteria
Description: partial 16S ribosomal RNA
Rfam family: Bacterial small subunit ribosomal RNA
Source: RNAcentral